This 117-nucleotide ribosomal RNA is filed under the name Deltaproteobacteria bacterium RIFCSPHIGHO2_02_FULL_40_28. The record is from RNAcentral. RNAcentral also lists the same sequence under 3 other names. Lineage: Bacteria; Deltaproteobacteria.
UCUGGUGGCAAUACCGGGAAGGAUACACCCGAUCCCAUUUCGAACUCGGAAGUUAAGCUUUCCAGGGCCAAUGGUACUAGCAUCGGACGGUGCUGGGAGAGUAGGUCGUUGCCAGAU